AGUGAACGCUGGCGGUAGGCCUAACACAUGCAAGUCGAACGGCAGCACAGAGGAGCUUGCUCCUUGGGUGGCGAGUGGCGGACGGGUGAGGAAUACAUCGGAAUCUACUCUGUCGUGGGGGAUAACGUAGGGAAACUUACGCUAAUACCGCAUACGACCUACGGGUGAAAGCAGGGGACCUUCGGGCCUUGCGCGAUUGAAUGAGCCGAUGUCGGAUUAGCUAGUUGGCGGGGUAAAGGCCCACCAAGGCGACGAUCCGUAGCUGGUCUGAGAGGAUGAUCAGCCGCACUGGAACUGAGACACGGUCCAGACUCCUACGGGAGGCAGCAGUGGAGAAUAUUGGACAAUGGGCGCAAGCCUGAUCCAGCCAUACCGCGUGGGUGAAGGAGGCCUUCGGGUUGUAAAGCCCUUUUGUUGGGAAAGAAAUCCAGCUGGCUAAUACCCGGUUGGGAUGACGGUACCCAAAGAAUAAGCACCGGCUAACUUCGUGCCAGCCGCCGCCGUAA
RNAcentral lists this ribosomal RNA (506 nucleotides) under uncultured bacterium. RNAcentral's name for it is "partial 16S ribosomal RNA". It matches the Rfam family "Bacterial small subunit ribosomal RNA", at positions 29 to 523 of the family's 1533-position model. The record is from RNAcentral.